This 170-nucleotide ribosomal RNA is filed under the name uncultured Alphaproteobacteria bacterium. RNAcentral's name for it is "partial 16S ribosomal RNA". It matches the Rfam family "Bacterial small subunit ribosomal RNA", at positions 337 to 524 of the family's 1533-position model. Lineage: Bacteria; Pseudomonadati; Pseudomonadota; Alphaproteobacteria. The record is from RNAcentral.
UCCUACGGGAGGCAGCAGUGGGGAAUAUUGCACAAUGGGGGAAACCCUGAUGCAGCCAUGCCGCGUGAGUGAAGAAGGCCUUUGGGUUGUAAAACUCUUUCGUCGGGGAAGAAAAUGACUGUACCCGAAUAAGAAGGUCCGGCUAACUUCGUGCCAGCAGCCGCGGUAAU